Molecule: transfer RNA, 77 nt
Filed under: Omnitrophica bacterium RIFOXYB12_FULL_50_7
Lineage: Bacteria; Pseudomonadati; Candidatus Omnitrophota
Description: tRNA-Ile
Rfam family: tRNA
About the family: Transfer RNA (tRNA) molecules are approximately 80 nucleotides in length. Their secondary structure includes four short double-helical elements and three loops (D, anti-codon, and T loops). Further hydrogen bonds mediate the characteristic L-shaped molecular structure. tRNAs have two regions of fundamental functional importance: the anti-codon, which is responsible for specific mRNA codon recognition, and the 3' end, to which the tRNAs corresponding amino acid is attached (by aminoacyl-tRNA synthetases). tRNAs cope with the degeneracy of the genetic code in two manners: having more than one tRNA (with a specific anti-codon) for a particular amino acid; and 'wobble' base-pairing, i.e. permitting non-standard base-pairing at the 3rd anti-codon position.
Source: RNAcentral
GGGCCCUUAGCUCAGUUGGUUAGAGCAUCGUCUUGAUAAGGCGGGGGUCGAUGGUUCGAAUCCAUCAGGGCCCACCA